AACCUGCCCAAGAGAUCGGGAUAACACCUGGAAACAGAUGCUAAUACCGGAUAACAACAGAUGAUGCCUAUCAACUGUUUAAAAGAUGGUUCUGCUAUCACUCUUGGAUGGACCUGCGGUGCAUUAGCUAGUUGGUAGGGUAACGGCCUACCAAGGCGAUGAUGCAUAGCCGAGUUGAAGAAGAACUAGAAUACGGACCACAAUUGGGACUGAGACACGGCCCAAACUCCUACGGGAGGCAGCAGAC
RNAcentral lists this ribosomal RNA (247 nucleotides) under uncultured Lactobacillus sp. RNAcentral's name for it is "partial 16S ribosomal RNA". It matches the Rfam family "Bacterial small subunit ribosomal RNA", at positions 123 to 354 of the family's 1533-position model. The record is from RNAcentral. Lineage: Bacteria; Bacillati; Bacillota; Bacilli; Lactobacillales; Lactobacillaceae.